ACUCGUUACAUGCUUUCCAUAUGAUAGGCAAAAAUGAUGUGACACUGGCUUCUGGGAAUGGCGAAGGGGCUGCUGCAGGAACAACAACAUUCCAACUGCUGCUGCAGCGGCUGCCGUCGUUGCUCCGCCGGCGCACGCGGGAGGACGUAGUCGGCGGCGGCGUCG
Molecule: non-coding RNA, 165 nt
Filed under: Heterosigma akashiwo
Lineage: Eukaryota; Raphidophyceae; Chattonellales; Chattonellaceae
Source: RNAcentral